RNAcentral lists this ribosomal RNA (396 nucleotides) under uncultured bacterium. Its description in RNAcentral is "bacterial SSU rRNA". It matches the Rfam family "Bacterial small subunit ribosomal RNA", at positions 30 to 407 of the family's 1533-position model. The record is from RNAcentral.
AGUGAACGCUGGCGGCAGGCCUAACACAUGCAAGUCGAACGGCAGCACAGGGGAGCUUGCUCCCUGGGUGGCGAGUGGCGGACGGGUGAGGACAACGUCGGAAUCUGCCUUUUUGUGGGGGAUAACGUAGGGAAACUUACGCUAAUACCGCAUACGACCCCAGGCCGGGAGGUUUGGGGUGAAAGCGGAGGACCUUCGGCGUUCGCGCAGAAAGAUGAGCCGACGUCGGAUUAGCUAGUUGGUGGGGAAAGGACCCACCAAGGCGACGAUCCGUAGCUGGUCUGAGAGGAUGAUCAGCCACACUGGAACUGAGACACGGUCCAGACUCCUACGGGAGGCAGCAGUGGGAAUAUUGGACAAUGGGCGCAAGCCUGAUCCAGCCAUGCCGCGUGUGUG